This is an RNA transcript of Zingiber officinale, 5688 nucleotides long. RefSeq lists it as uncharacterized. The transcript is spliced from 5 exons. The record is from RefSeq and is a predicted model, not a curated record. Lineage: Eukaryota; Viridiplantae; Streptophyta; Magnoliopsida; Zingiberales; Zingiberaceae.
UUUCGCACCCUCCCAACAGUUGCGAAGGAGGAUAAGCACCGACCCAAAUCCCUCUCCCCGUUCCCCCUUCCGAUUCGCCCCCUUCCCGUUCCUCUUCUCGAUACCUCCCUAUUCGCCGCCGGCCAAUCCUCUGACUGCCUGCCGUCGUCUGCAGAGCCGUCGGUUGCCUUAGCUAGGGCUUCCUUUCGUUUGUCCGCCGGUGACGACGCCCCGGAUGCCUCCCUUCUCGAGGGCUACUUGAUUUGGAAGUCGGGGUGAUUGGAAAUUGAUGGUUCGUGCUUGCGGAGGGAUCGAAGGUAACCAAAUCGGGGAAGAUGCACGUCUAUGCAUGGGCGGGAAGGUGAGAGGAAAGUGCGGAGGCUCAUUCGAGUCUGUCUCCUCGCAUGGAGAUAUAGAAGAAGCAUCUCGCCUUGAUCGCUUGCAUCGGAGGUCGUUAUCUGCGUCUGAGACGCAUUUGGAUUCGUUCCUGAAGGAUGGACGAAAAAUACAUGUUGGUGAAUGUGCUCUUUUUCAGGCUCGGAAUGCUCCACCUUUCAUUGGAAUAAUUCGACGUUUAAUGAAAUGCACAGAAGAUUCUCCUAAGUUGUGUGUCAACUGGCUUUAUCGACCUACUGAUCUUAAGCUUGCAAAAGGCAUUUUACUCGAUGCUGCCCCAAAUGAAGUAUUUUACUCUUUCCACAAGGAUGUGAUUCCUGCUGCCUCAUUGCUUCAUCUGUGUAAAGUUGCAUUUUUACCUAAGAGUGUUGAACUUCCACUGGGAAUACCAGCAUUUGUGUGUAGGAGAGUAUAUGACAUUACUAACAAACGUUUGUGGUGGUUGACUGAUCAGGAUUAUACCAAUGAACGCCAGGAAGAAGUUGAUCAACUUUUGAACAAGACUCAUCUAGAAAUGCAUACAGCAGUACAAUCAGAUGGGCAUUCACCAAAGUCUCUUAACAAUUCAACAAUCAACCAACAGGUAAAAUCUGGUUCAGAUAAUGUGCAAAGCAGUGGCACCCCCACUCAAUCUAAGGGAAAGAAGAGAUUGAGGAAUGAUCAAGACAUGGAGCCAAUCAAAGGUGACAAGGGCAUAGAGCCUAUGAAGUUCAACCAGGGAAUUGAAUCAAUCAAGCGACAACAUUCUUCCAAACUCAGUGAUGGAGGAAGUGUUGUCACCAUAAAGUCUGAGAACAUUAAGGCAGAGAUUAAUAAAAUGGCAGAUAAAGGAGCGCUUGUAUGCACGGAAGGAGUUGAGAAUUUGGUUAGUUUAAUGCAACUAGAUAAAAAAGAGAAAAAAAUAGAUUUGGCUGCUCGGAUAAUGCUUACUGAUGUCAUUGCAGCCACAGAGAAAUCUGAUUUCCUUCAAAAGUUUGUGCAACUCAAGGGAGUGCCUGUACUAGAUGAUUGGCUCCGGGAGGUUCACAAAGGAAAGAAUGAUAAUGGUAGUAGUCCUCAUGAAAGUGAAAAUUUAGUUGAGGAUGUUCUCUUGUCUCUACUUCGUGCACUUGAAAAGUUGCCUAUAAACUUGAAUACUCUGCAGACUUGUAACAUUGGCAAGUCCGUGAACAAUUUGCGCAGUUUUAAGAACUUGGAAAUCCAGAAGAAAGCUAGGGGUCUUGUUGACACUUGGAAGAAACGGGUUGAUGCUGAGAUGUCAAAAGUAAAUGAUGGAAGAUCUGUAGGAUUUGGCCAACCAGUUUCAUUGUCAGGCAAGGUAGGCCAUUCUGAUGUCAGUCAAACACAACAUAAGCACACUGAAUCAACUGAUGGAGCUGCUAAAUUGCUGAAUACCCGAUCCUCAGUGAGUAAGUUUCUGACUAGUAAGUCUGGAACCUUAGAUUCUACUAAGUCAAUUGUACCUGCUUCUGUUAUUGUAAGCUCAAAGGAUCCACAAUGUAAAACAGUUGCAAGUAGUGAGGGUUCAGUAUUGCCUCCUGUUGCAGUUAAAGAGGAAAAGAUCAGUGUUUCAAAUCAGUCUCGUAGCAAUAACCAAUCUUGUUUUAGUGAUCAAUCAAAAUUGAUGUCUUUACAGAAGGAAGAAACUAGGAGAUCAGCCACUGAAGCUAUGAAUACUAGCAAGAUAGGUAGCAAUACUAAUCGCAAUCAAAGGUCAAGCAAUGGGCUCCCUGUAACUGACAUACCUGGAGAUCGGAAGGAAGCUCAUUCUGGUAGGUCUGAGGUGGUCAACAAGGUUGUGACAACAGAAAAUGGAUUAGAAACUGGACAGACAUGCCAAAAGCCACUCAAUGCCCCCAUUGGUCAUGGAAAUAUCAGUAGGUUGAUUGUUAGGCUUCCUAACCCUGGCCAAAGACCAGGAAAGAGUGGCAGUGGAGUCCCAGUUGAUGAUCCAUUGGUAAUGGGCAGCAAUCAGUUGCCUUCUGGUAUGUCAGACAAACUAGAUUUGAAUGAUGGUAGAAUGAAGCAGAAGAGUGAUCUUCCUCUUAAUCAUAUCACUACAUAUGAAAAUGCAGUGUCAUGUCAAGGCAAUGAGGUUGAAGAAGGAUUAGUUGGAAAUGGAGAAGUUAGCUCACCAAUGGGUUCUGAUGAAGAACAUAGAAGAAAUGUUGAAGUAACUGUAAAUGUUGCAGAUCCUGCUACAACUGCCUAUUUGACAUCUGGGAAUGAAAAUGGAGCUUGCUCAACUGAACCAAGGACAAUAAAUUCUUAUAGUUCUAUGCAUGCCUUGGUAGAAAGCUGUGCCAAAUAUUCUGAAGCUAUCACUCCUUUGGUAGCUGGAGAUGAUGCAGGGAUGAAUCUACUAGCUACUGUUGCCACUGGGGAAAUUUCCCAAUUUAACAUAAUGACACAAAUUGAUUCAAAUGGAACUCCACCUGCUGUGGAGGAACGGUGCAGCAGAAAUGAUGAAUUUAGGUUAUCUUGCCAUGAUGAUAUGGGUCAGAGGAAUCUCCAAUACGAUGAAUGUGUCAAUGCUAAUUCUGAGAAGCAAGGGAAGAAAGUUGGUAAUACAUUUGGUAAAGAUCUAUUACAAACUGAAGAUGCCAAGUUGACAAGUAGCAGUGCUAGUGAUUCUCAACUGCAGAAUAAUAAACUAAAUGGCCAUCAAGCAACACAAAAUACUAUUACCUGUAUGAGUUCGCUUGAUAAUUAUAAUUCUAUGAAUGUAGAGGAAAAACCUGCAGUUGAAAGAAUCAACAAUGCUGCAUAUAUACCAGCGGAAGUUGAGCAGGGCAAUAGGGUUGGAACUGCUUCAAUUGAAGAUGAACAAACUACCGAUGUGCAAGUUUCUGACACUUGUACUUAUACUGAGCCUAAGUUUAUGAGCCCAUUGAAGGAUGAAAAUACAUCACUUCAUGAUGAUUAUAAGAAGACUGAAGAUAACAAUGGGUGCACUUCUGAUGCUAAAGUAGAUGGUAAAUGUGAUAUAGAUGCCACCAAUUCUGAUACGAAAGUAGAAGUACCUCUUGUUCAGGAGGAUAUGUCAAGCCAAAUAGUGGAGAAAGUAUUAAGUGCUUCUAUCUCAACUGAAAGCCUACAGAAAGCUCCAUCCCCAGAUGCCGUAGCUGAAAAUACUGAUUCCAUUGUUUCAUUUCCUGAUGGUAAUAUUCCUUCUCCUAUGGCUAUUAAUGAGUCCAAGAUUUUGUGUUCUGAUCACACAAGAAUCAACCCCAUGGAGUUGUCCCAUGAAGCAAAAGAGGACAAUAGUAUUCCCCCUCAUAGCACUGAUGAAUCAGUAGUAUCAGCUGCUAUUUCUUUGGACACUGCUGAGAUUGUUAGAGAUUUAAAGGAGGUUAAUGAGGAUGGCCCAGUUGGAACAGCAAGUCAUGAAGUGACAUCUACUUCUAAAAUCAAGGAAACUGAGAAUUCUGUGAAGUCCUCUAGAACAUCUGGAUUUGAUGCAGAAGCUGGGGAAGGGGGUAUUGCAUCAUCUGUGAACUGCUCUUCAUCAAGUGUUACUGAACAUGUCGUUGCCACUAGAUUUGAACUUGAUUUGAAUGAAGUUAUUCCUGCUGUUGAAGGGAAUCAAGACAAACAUGAUAUCUCCUCAACAAUAUGUUCAUCAGCAAAUCACUUGCCUAGCCUAUCUCCCUUUUCAAGUCCCAUAUCCACUGAUUUGCCUGCAUCUUUUACUGUAUCUUUACCAGCAAAAGGGCCUUUUAUUCCUCAUGAAAUUUUGUUGAAGGCCAAGGGUGAACUUGGAUGGAAAGGCUCAGCAGCUACUAGUGCUUUCCGGCAAGCAGAGUCAAAGAAAAUAUCUGAAGUUCCUGAUAUCAUCCCAUCUAAUGGUGUUGGAAAGAAGAGCCACUCUCUGCUAAAUAUCGACCUUAACAUACCUGAUGAGGAAGUUCUCGAAGACGCACCUUCUCAGAGCUCUAUUCAAAUGAUGAUGACUACUACUGAUUAUUAUUCACCUUCAAGAACUGCUGCAGAAGUUGAUCUUGAUUUAAAUAGAGUUGAUGAGACGCUAGAAAAUGAUCACCGUUUGGCUAGCACCAGCGGUAGAUUAGAGCUGCCGCUGUUGCCCAUGCAACCUGCAUCUGGAGGACUAUCUGCAGGCAAAGCUAAUUUUCUCAGGAACUUUGAUCUGAAUGACAGACCAGACAUUGAUGAGCUUAGUACAGAAGCAGUAACUAGGAACCAACAAGAUUCAAGGACUGUACCAAAUUUGUCUCAUGUUACUUGUCGUAGAACAAAUUCCAAGUCUGGUUAUACUUUACCUUGGUGUGUUCCUCACUCUUAUCCAGUUGUUGCUGUACCAUCUCUUCUGCUUGAUAGAGGAGAUAAAUCAAAUCCGGUAGUUGCAACUGCAGAACCCCUGAUGAUUCCAGGUUCAUUAAAUGGUGUUAAUCUUUGUAGCAAUAUUUAUCGCAGUACAUCUUUUUCACCAUCACCAGCAACACUGGUUACUCCAGCUACAUCAUUUCCUUAUGCAAACUCAUCGUUUCCUCCUUCCACUUUUACACUAGCUCCAGUGUCUUUCUCUGGUGGUUCAACAUCUUAUGUUGAUACUUCUUAUGGAGGUGGUUCUUGCUUCCCUGCUUAUUCGUCAUUAUUUGUUGCUCCUGCUAGUGCUGUUUCAUCUAAUUAUCCAAGUCCCUACAUGACAAGCUUUCCAGAAGGUGGCACUAGUACUAUGAGUAGACAAGUCUUUGAUUUGAAUACUGGUCCAGGGAGUGCAGAUACAGAAGGAAAAGAUGAGAAACUGCUUUCUGCAUCAAGACAAUUUUUAGUUGCUACUUCUCAGUCAUUCAUGGAGGAUCAGGUCAGAAUGAAUGGUCUUCCUACUGUAGGUUCAAAGAGAAAAGAUCCUGAAGAGAGUUGGGGUGCAGAAAGUGCUGCCGAGAGGUCUGCUAAGCAAGUCUUGUGGAAGUAAGGAGAUGAUCGAAGAAACAAUUUCAUCUGUAGCUCGACUCUGGCACAAUCGUAUGUGGAAUUUCUUUCUUGUAUUACUUGUUCACUAGGUUAUACAUACAAACAAAAGCUCACACUCUAGUGUUUGCGUCAAGCAUUACAUUGGAUCUUUUGGAGAUAUUUAAAAUGUUCGCCUCCAUGUUCUUUGGCAUAGAGAUGUCGUUACUGAUACCAUACCUCUUCAUGGUAACUUGACACUAUAGCUCAGUUGUACUAAGUAAUCUAUGAGACUUCUUUGGAAACUACUAUUUGUUUUUUGUAGGUACUGUACUUUUAUUGCGAGUGUAAAAUUAGUGUAACAAUUUUUUUAGCUUGAAAGAUCAAAACUUAAUUUGCUUU